GUUAAAAUAGCUCAAAAUUAGAGUUUUGCAUUGAAGCUGCAAAGGUGGCUAUGGUCUUUUAACA
Molecule: transfer RNA, 64 nt
Filed under: Octomeris sp. BKKC-2014
Lineage: Eukaryota; Metazoa; Arthropoda; Thecostraca; Balanomorpha; Chthamalidae
Description: tRNA-Phe
Rfam family: tRNA
About the family: Transfer RNA (tRNA) molecules are approximately 80 nucleotides in length. Their secondary structure includes four short double-helical elements and three loops (D, anti-codon, and T loops).
Source: RNAcentral